RNAcentral lists this non-coding RNA (81 nucleotides) under Mucochytrium quahogii. Lineage: Eukaryota; Bigyra; Thraustochytrida; Thraustochytriidae. The record is from RNAcentral.
AGACACAGUGUCACAGGUAAGAAUAAAAAAGAAAAUACAGGAGAAGAAUAAAAAAAUAGUUUUUUUAUACGUCUUGGUUUU